GGUGCUUUGGCGCCCACAUCUCCGCGUAUCCCUUCCCGCUACCCUCUGGCUUGUAAUAACAAUGGAGUUAUCCGUGGUCUGGGAAGUGGUGUUGGGGCCGAGUGGGCAGGCGAGGGGCGAGAGGGGUUGGGACGCUAAGGGUUAAGUCCCAACCCGGGCAAUGGAAAGGACUCGCGAGUUCGCCGCCUGGGUGGAAUUCUAGCCUCCCAGGGCGGCCGCCAGCCCCCGCCGCCUGAGCUGCACUUGCUCCAUUGCCUGGCCCACGAGCAACAGGCUCAGAGGCCGGGCUUUCCCCGGAGCUAGUGCUCCUUCUGCCACUGGUGCCUGGGUGCGUCUGGACAGCCUGCGAGUGGGCCGGUGCGUCCCGCCAGUGCGUGCUCUGCAGCCUGACAAAGCUCGGCAAUUGCAAUAAAUUCAACUAUUGGGCCAGGUCCAGGACCUCCUGUAUAAAGCAGGCAUCCUCCAACUUGAUGAAUGUGAGUCUGGAACAAAAUUAAAAGGAGUCCAGCACAUUAUUGCAGUAUCAUCAAUUUGGAAAAAAAGAUGAGGGAACACCACCGAGCUAGAGUUUUCUUUCUGAGAAAAAGAGCUUGAUGAAAUUCAGAGCCAACUCUUUCAGCAAGAGGAUUGUUUGUUCACUGCUUGGCUGCAGGUUAGUUUGGCCAUUGUGUCUAUUUCCUGGAAGCAGUGUUCUGAGAGUGAAAUCCUGAUGCACAUUCACAGGAUGGUAUCAACGUGGCUUUCAAUCCUGUGAUUUUAUGGUUUCAUUACAAAGAUAUCCAGGUUUGUAAAACUAUGCUUUGAAAAUACAGCUGUUAGCCUGUUAAAAUGUGAGAGUACAGAAAAGUAACCUGUCACACACCGUGGAAUUUUCCAAAGCAGUUCACGGCUGUGCAUGUGGGCAGAUCUGCAUCUGUCUUUCCUUUCAGUUUGACACCUGGACACCUACGCAUAAGAGUGGGA
RNAcentral lists this long non-coding RNA (963 nucleotides) under Zalophus californianus (California sea lion). RNAcentral describes it as "lncRNA (ENSZCAG00015010044.1)". The record is from RNAcentral. Lineage: Eukaryota; Metazoa; Chordata; Mammalia; Carnivora; Otariidae.